This is a long non-coding RNA of Frieseomelitta varia, 292 nucleotides long. RefSeq lists it as uncharacterized. Lineage: Eukaryota; Metazoa; Arthropoda; Insecta; Hymenoptera; Apidae. The transcript is spliced from 3 exons. The record is from RefSeq and is a predicted model, not a curated record.
UGAACGAAAUUAGAGAAACGAAACUAUUGACACGCUACAACAUCGUGCCUUGUAUGAGACAUAACGCGAAAUGAAACCGCGAUUUGUCAGUGUGCCAAAUCGGGUUCCGAGCAUUUAGAGGCAAGUAGUUUCGCGCUACCCCCAACGACACAGUGGGGUUCCGAAGAACCGCUGAACCGAAUUACAAAGGACGCUAGACUACAAGAACCUACCUCGUCCUUUCGGACGAGGCUGCAGUCCCCCGAUUUGACACACUGACAGCGAAAGUUAGAAACUCUACACUAGAACAAUG